CGACUUAGCUCAGUUGGUAGAGCAGCUGAUUUGUAAUCAGCAGGUCGUGGGUUCGAGUCCCACAAUCGG
RNAcentral lists this transfer RNA (69 nucleotides) under uncultured Saccharofermentans sp. It matches the Rfam family "tRNA". From Rfam's summary of the family: Transfer RNA (tRNA) molecules are approximately 80 nucleotides in length. Their secondary structure includes four short double-helical elements and three loops (D, anti-codon, and T loops). The record is from RNAcentral. Lineage: Bacteria; Bacillati; Bacillota; Clostridia; Eubacteriales; Oscillospiraceae.